CCACCAGGACCACACCAUAAACCUUUUUUAUGCAGUUGCAAUCAGCGUCAGUAUAACAAAUGUAAAUCAUUUACAACUUUCAACAACGGAUCUCUUGGUUCUGGCAUCGAUGAAGAACGCAGCGAAAUGCGAUACGUAGUGUGAAUUGCAGAAUUCAGUGAAUCAUCGAAUCUUUGAACGCACAUUGCGCCCUUUGGUAUUCCAAAGGGCAUGCCUGUUCGAGCGUCAUUUGUACCCUCAAGCUUUGCUUGGUGUUGGGCGUCUUUUGUCUUUGGCCUCGCCCAAAGACUCGCCUUAAAACGAUUGGCAGCCGGCCUACUGGUUUCGCAGCGCAGCACAUUUUUGCGCUUGCAAUCAGCAAAAAGGACGGCAAUCCAUCAAGACUACAUUUUUACGUUGACCUCGAUCAGGUAGGAAU
This 418-nucleotide ribosomal RNA is filed under the name Curvularia lunata. Its description in RNAcentral is "eukaryotic LSU rRNA". The stretch from base 75 to 228 matches the Rfam family "5.8S ribosomal RNA". The record is from RNAcentral. Lineage: Eukaryota; Fungi; Ascomycota; Dothideomycetes; Pleosporales; Pleosporaceae.